UACAGUUUUAUCUUUAUAGCUAGGUACAGCGGUCAUUUUAAUUGAUUAACAUACAAGGAUCUACCUCAUUCUUGACCUCAACUUACAAAUUAGUUACAUUGUAAUAUUCAUAAGACUAUGACACUAUUUUCUUGCAACUUGUUUUAUAAUUAUAGAUUCUGAAUAUUCGAAAAAAAAAUACAUUAUUGAAAUUCCUAGCAAUACAAACGCCGUAAGUGGCAUCAUUGCCUGGUAUUAAACCGUACUAUGAGGGACGCCAUUAUUACAGUCUGUUAUUGUGAAAUCGAUAUUAGCCGAGUUCAGUGUUUGGUGUCUCUUUAAACUGUGUUUUUUUAUUUAAUUCAAUAAAAAUUCCAAAGUGGUGUAUAAUAUGCCGACAAUUACAGGAAAAGAGCCAAAUAUGUGCUACUUCUUUUCACAAAAUACCAUAAGAUUCUGCAAUACGAGCAGUGUGGCUAGAAAAUUUAGCCAUAUCUGAAUAUGAUUUAUCAAAGGAUAAUUAUGUCUGUUCGAAACAUUUCCGUGCUACAGAUAUUAAGGAAAACGAUGCCUCACACAUGGAGCUAUCCCUAUUAGUACAACAUUUGGAAGCAGUGUAGAUGAAAAGGUUUUGCCGUCUCAAAGGUUGCUUCCUUCGAGAAAUUGCCAGUGAAGGAAAUUUUAUAGAUGUUGCUAUAAAACAUCUUCAAUCACAUGUUGUCCCUGAUCCGUAAGAGAGGAGCUGUCAAUGCUAUGAGCUCAAAAUUCAGUUUAUUUUUGUUGUGUGCAUAUAAAACCUGCUUGGAACAUGUUUAUUUUCCCAUAUGAUUAAAUGUUCAAUGUAACUUAAUUUUUCUGCUACUUUUAGUACAAAUAUGUUUUGUUUUCUUUGCAUUGUUUAUA
Anoplophora glabripennis (Asian longhorned beetle) is the source of this 882-nucleotide long non-coding RNA. RefSeq lists it as uncharacterized. The transcript has 3 exons. The record is from RefSeq and is a predicted model, not a curated record. NCBI's taxonomy places the organism in Eukaryota, Metazoa, Arthropoda, Insecta, Coleoptera, Cerambycidae.